GAUGAACGCUGGCGGCGUGCCUAAUACAUGCAAGUCGAGCGAACAGACGAGGAGCUUGCUCCUUUGACGUUAGCGGCGGACGGGUGAGUAACACGUGGAUAACCUACCUAUAAGACUGGGAUAACUUCGGGAAACCGGAGCUAAUACCGGAUAACAUGUUGAACCGCAUGGUUCAACAGUGAAAGACGGUCUUGCUGUCACUUAUAGAUGAUCCGCGCCGCAUUAGCUAGUUGGUAAGGUAACGGCUUACCAAGGCAACGAUGCGUAGCCGACCUGAGAGGGUGAUCGGCCACACUGGAACUGAGACACGGUCCAGACUCCUACGGGAGGCAGCAGUAGGGAAUCUUCCGCAAUGGGCGAAAGCCUGACGGAGCAACGCCGCGUGAGUGAAGAAGGUCUUCGGAUCGUAAAACUCUGUUAUUAGGGAAGAACAAAUGUGUAAGUAACUAUGCACGUCUUGACGGUACCUAAUCAGAAAGCCACGGCUAACUACGUG
RNAcentral lists this ribosomal RNA (496 nucleotides) under uncultured bacterium. RNAcentral describes it as "partial 16S ribosomal RNA". It matches the Rfam family "Bacterial small subunit ribosomal RNA", at positions 28 to 507 of the family's 1533-position model. The record is from RNAcentral.